UCUAUCUAGUUUUCUUGGCAACAAUCCAGAAGUGGUUUGCUAUUGCCUCCUUCCAGGACAUUUUUUUAGCUUUGCAGUCUAGCUUCCAACUUUGAAAUUCCCUGAAGGAAUCCUAUCCAGCCAAGUACCAACCAGGCCUGACCCUGUGGAUCUGCCAAAUCCAAACAAGGUACUGACAGCCCUAAAAACAAAUUGGUGACCAUCAGAUGACUUUCUUGCCUACUUCUCAUGAAGGUCAUCUUCAUUUGGAAAAAAAAGUCUUAUAAUGAUGUGAAAAAGGGAAAGUUUGUCCUGUCUUCAUUUUGGAAUGGAAGACCCAGAUGUUCCUCAGCAAUCAACCAGCUAUGCCAAUGUAUCCAACGUUUCCAAAAGCAUGGAAGAAGACUGAUCUUUGGAAGGACUUAUAUUGAUGGUCACAGGUACUCUAAUUGUAAAAUCUGAUUUUGUAUCCUUUUUUUAUUUUUGUAACACAAUAUUAUUAUGCACAAUUUGGUAGUUAUGUUAGAAUUAAAAAUGUUUUAAAAUAUUAAAAAUGUUCAGUUCAUUGAAGGAUAAAUGAAAUUGAGUAUG
Molecule: long non-coding RNA, 570 nt
Organism: Candoia aspera
Lineage: Eukaryota; Metazoa; Chordata; Lepidosauria; Squamata; Candoiidae
Exons: 3
Source: RefSeq, a predicted model, not a curated record